Gorilla gorilla gorilla (western lowland gorilla) is the source of this 576-nucleotide long non-coding RNA. RefSeq lists it as uncharacterized. Lineage: Eukaryota; Metazoa; Chordata; Mammalia; Primates; Hominidae. The transcript is spliced from 3 exons. The record is from RefSeq and is a predicted model, not a curated record.
UGCAGAGAUCAGCCACGGUUGAGAUGAGUAAUCAGAGUGGGGAUGCUGUACGGGAAUAACCCGUGGACCCAAGGGAUUAACAGACUUUGAGAGGAAUUGGAUUCCUGGAGGCGAGAUCAAAGACUGGCUCUGUCACAGAGGCAAUUGUGAGAUGAGAGGCACCAACGCCCCCCCUGGGGCACAGUCAAGCAAGUGAAGAAGGCUGGCAGACAACAGUCAAUCAGGUGAUCAAAGUGAACAUCAGGAUGCAAUUGGAACGAGUAUUAUCCCUGAUAUUCCUGCCAAAGGGCCAGCGAUGUGACUGUCAGAAAGAACCUUGCCAAGAACUCGGAAAGAAAGGGAAAAAAAUGUCUUUUAGAAGUUUAACUGUGAAACCAGCACCUAUUGGAUUAGGGCAGAGGAACGAGAAAUCACCGCAAAGGGACAAAAAUGCUUCUAAGCCAGCAAGAGUUGGCUGUGACUCUACUAAAGGUAUAAAACACACAUCUAAAGGCUAUAUUAGUCAGUCAUGGAGUCAUGGAAGAAGGGUUGCUCAGACAGACUUGAGCAGUACUCACCAAGGGUCCAUUCUGAGUG